Molecule: unclassified non-coding RNA, 176 nt
Filed under: uncultured Phlebiella
Lineage: Eukaryota; Fungi; Basidiomycota; Agaricomycetes; Corticiales; Corticiaceae
Description: sequence contains ITS2
Source: RNAcentral
AGUACUCAACUUGCAGCUUUGUUGCUUGCAAGCUUGGAAUUGGGACCUGUCGGCGCAAGUCGACUGUCCUGAAAUGCAUUAGCCCUGAAUGCGAUCGUCGCAACUAAGCGUGAUAAACUUUGUCUUCGCUGAAAGCGUUCGUUCGGAGGGCUCACAGAAACCCCAUACUUUUUCAC